Molecule: ribosomal RNA, 883 nt
Filed under: Bacillus subtilis
Lineage: Bacteria; Bacillati; Bacillota; Bacilli; Caryophanales; Bacillaceae
Description: bacterial SSU rRNA
Rfam family: Bacterial small subunit ribosomal RNA
Source: RNAcentral
AAGACUGGCGGCUGCUAUACAUGCAAGUCGAGCGGACAGAUGGGAGCUUGCUCCCUGAUGUUAGCGGCGGACGGGUGAGUAACACGUGGGUAACCUGCCUGUAAGACUGGGAUAACUCCGGGAAACCGGGGCUAAUACCGGAUGGUUGUUUGAACCGCAUGGUUCAAACAUAAAAGGUGGCUUCGGCUACCACUUACAGAUGGACCCGCGGCGCAUUAGCUAGUUGGUGAGGUAACGGCUCACCAAGGCAACGAUGCGUAGCCGACCUGAGAGGGUGAUCGGCCACACUGGGACUGAGACACGGCCCAGACUCCUACGGGAGGCAGCAGUAGGGAAUCUUCCGCAAUGGACGAAAGUCUGACGGAGCAACGCCGCGUGAGUGAUGAAGGUUUUCGGAUCGUAAAGCUCUGUUGUUAGGGAAGAACAAGUACCGUUCGAAUAGGGCGGUACCUUGACGGUACCUAACCAGAAAGCCACGGCUAACUACGUGCCAGCAGCCGCGGUAAUACGUAGGUGGCAAGCGUUGUCCGGAAUUAUUGGGCGUAAAGGGCUCGCAGGCGGUUUCUUAAGUCUGAUGUGAAAGCCCCCGGCUCAACCGGGGAGGGUCAUUGGAAACUGGGGAACUUGAGUGCAGAAGAGGAGAGUGGAAUUCCACGUGUAGCGGUGAAAUGCGUAGAGAUGUGGAGGAACACCAGUGGCGAAGGCGACUCUCUGGUCUGUAACUGACGCUGAGGAGCGAAAGCGUGGGGAGCGAACAGGAUUAGAUACCCUGGUAGUCCACGCCGUAAACGAUGAGUGCUAAGUGUUAGGGGGUUUCCGCCCCUUAGUGCUGCAGCUAACGCAUUAAGCACUCCGCCUGGGGAGUACGGUCGCAAGACUGAAA